UGGAAGGAGCAGUAAAUUAAAACUUCUUGUGCCUCCAGCGAGCGCAGGCUAAUUGCUCUCCAAGCUUCUUCCCCCAGCCCUGACAAUGCGCCUCAACCCUGACUAAGAGGGACCACCUCUGGGGACCAGGAAACAGUUCAAUCAACAGCCUAUUUAUUCUUCAGCGUCU
RNAcentral lists this small RNA (169 nucleotides) under Anser brachyrhynchus (Pink-footed goose). RNAcentral's name for it is "TUC338 (ENSABRG00000016891.1)". The record is from RNAcentral. Lineage: Eukaryota; Metazoa; Chordata; Aves; Anseriformes; Anatidae.